CUGUGUGUAUAUAUCCCUGUCUGUCCCAGUGUUCCUUGUUAGUUCGUCAUCUAAGUGUCACCCCUGUUGUUGGUUGCUCCUCGUGCUCCUCGUGUUUUCAGUUUUAUUUUGUAUUUUUGCUAGCUUUUUAUAAAAUAAAGUGCUCUUUUUGUUAGAACCUUGUCCAGUGUACUGCAUUUGGGUCCUCACCUUUUUCUCACCGUGACAGAUGACCUCUACAGUAUGAAAGACGUAUGCCAGGUGGCUACCACUUCAUCCACAAUCCGCUGUUAGCUCCAACGAGAAGAUCACAGGGUUUAUGGAUGACCGCCCCAGCUGCACCAGUGAAUCUAAGCUGGGUGUUCGGAAGAUUUUGUGGGUGGUGAUCGUCAAGAUCCGCGACACUUAAUCCAGUUUCAAGCUUCUUUUUCCGAUGUUGAUAACAUUGGAUGUAAAAUACUGUGUGUACGGCACUACUUUGUAUUGGAUGUCAAUUAACUGUAUUCAUCAUUAAUAUCAGUUACUGUGAUUUGUGACUUACUUCCCUGUGUUGUACGUUUUCAAAAAGUGCAGCUCUGUGUCUGUAGAGAACAGCUGACGUGCUCGUGAUGAAGCAUGAGUGUAUAUGAACAAGCACUUGCAGUUUUCCACAUGUUAACUGCUGUGUCAUAUUAGAUGGUUUCAAAGUGAAUCAUUAGAAUGAAUGAAUCAUGGAAAGAGAAAAAAGACAAAGAUACAAUCUGGUUCAUCUGCAUUUUUAUUUACAUGUUUUUUUAUCUGUAGAAUGCGUGUAUUUAACUGAUAACUGUCAUUUGGUUUAUUACAUCAUAUACAUUCAGUGAGCUGAAAAAUAGAAACAUCUUUACAGUGAAGAGCAAUUUAGUACAAGAGCCCUGUAGAUCCUGUCUUUGUGCAGCUUUUCAUUUCCAAUCAGUGUUGACACCCAUUUCCCACCACACUGUAAACUCUCCAACUUUCAAUUUCAAUUCAACUUUUAUCAUACAUUCCUGGCUUGAUUAAAGUAAUGUCAACUUAGUUGUUCUAAUUCUCGUAUUCAUUUCAGAACUUAUAAUCAUCAAUUUAUCCUUGUAACUUCACAGGAGGAACUGUAGGUCUGUAGAGAUUAGCUAGAAGUUAGGCGGAGUCGUCACUGCCAAGAUGGCUAUGGCAGAAAGCUCCCACAUUGAGCUUCACAACAGCCCUUUAGAAACCUGUGGGUGAUGGUAUUCAGAUGUUAUUGUAAAAACCUACAGUUCCAGGGCUGGGUAUUCUAUUCACGUCAAGCAG
Molecule: long non-coding RNA, 1266 nt
Filed under: Cottoperca gobio
Lineage: Eukaryota; Metazoa; Chordata; Actinopteri; Perciformes; Bovichtidae
Description: lncRNA (ENSCGOG00000003256.1)
Source: RNAcentral